Molecule: ribosomal RNA, 215 nt
Filed under: uncultured bacterium
Lineage: Bacteria
Description: partial 16S ribosomal RNA
Rfam family: Bacterial small subunit ribosomal RNA
Source: RNAcentral
UGAGCAAUCUGCCCUUCACAUCGGAAUAACCAUUGGAAACGAUGGCUAAUACCGAAUAUGACUUCGGAUCACAUGAUCUGAAGUGGAAAGCUCCGGCGGUGAAGGAUGAGCUCGCGGCCUAUCAGCUUGUUGGUGAGGUAAUAGCUCACCAAGGCGAUGACGGGUAGCCGGCCUGAGAGGGUGACCGGCCACACGUGGGACUGAGACACGGCAGA